This 1118-nucleotide ribosomal RNA is filed under the name Enterococcus faecalis. RNAcentral's name for it is "partial 23S ribosomal RNA". It matches the Rfam family "Bacterial large subunit ribosomal RNA", at positions 1 to 1128 of the family's 2925-position model. The record is from RNAcentral. Lineage: Bacteria; Bacillati; Bacillota; Bacilli; Lactobacillales; Enterococcaceae.
GAAUAAGGGCGCACGGUGGAUGCCUUGGCACUAGGAGCCGAUGAAGGACGGGACUAACACCGAUAUGCUUUGGGGAGCUGUAAGUAAGCUAUGAUCCAGAGAUUUCCGAAUGGGGGAACCCAAUAUCUUUUAUAGGAUAUUACUUUUCAGUGAAUACAUAGCUGAUUAGAGGUAGACGCAGAGAACUGAAACAUCUUAGUACCUGCAGGAAGAGAAAGAAAAUUCGAUUCCCUGAGUAGCGGCGAGCGAAACGGGAAGAGCCCAAACCAACAAGCUUGCUUGUUGGGGUUGUAGGACUCCAAUAUGGUAGUCUGUUAGUAUAGUUGAAGGAUUUGGAAAAUUCCGCUAAAGAGGGUGAAAGCCCCGUAGACGAAAUGCUGACAACACCUAGGAGGAUCCUGAGUACGGCGGAACACGAGAAAUUCCGUCGGAAUCCGCGGGGACCAUCCCGCAAGGCUAAAUACUCCCUAGUGACCGAUAGUGAACCAGUACCGUGAGGGAAAGGUGAAAAGCACCCCGGAAGGGGAGUGAAAUAGAUCCUGAAACCGUGUGCCUACAACAAGUCAAAGCUCGUUAAUGAGUGAUGGCGUGCCUUUUGUAGAAUGAACCGGCGAGUUACGAUUGCAUGCGAGGUUAAGUCGAAGAGACGGAGCCGCAGCGAAAGCGAGUCUGAAUAGGGCGAAUGAGUAUGUAGUCGUAGACCCGAAACCAUGUGAUCUACCCAUGUCCAGGUUGAAGGUGCGGUAAAACGCACUGGAGGACCGAACCCACGUACGUUGAAAAGUGCGGGGAUGAGGUGUGGGUAGCGGAGAAAUUCCAAACGAACUUGGAGAUAGCUGGUUCUCUCCGAAAUAGCUUUAGGGCUAGCCUCGGAAUUGAGAAUGAUGGAGGUAGAGCACUGUUUGGACUAGGGGCCCAUCUCGGGUUACCGAAUUCAGAUAAACUCCGAAUGCCAUUCAUUUAUAUCCGGGAGUCAGACUGCGAGUGAUAAGAUCCGUAGUCGAAAGGGAAACAGCCCAGACCACCAGCUAAGGUCCCAAAAUAUAUGUUAAGUGGAAAAGGAUGUGGGGUUGCACAGACAACUAGGAUGUUGGCUUAGAAGCAGCCACCAUUUAAAG